Molecule: ribosomal RNA, 253 nt
Filed under: uncultured bacterium
Lineage: Bacteria
Description: partial 16S ribosomal RNA
Rfam family: Bacterial small subunit ribosomal RNA
Source: RNAcentral
UACGGGGGGGGCAAGCGUUGUUCGGAAUUACUGGGCGUAAAGGGCGCGUAGGCGGCCAACUAAGUCGGACGUGAAAUCCCCGGGCUCAACCCGGGAACUGCGUCCGAUACUGGAUGGCUUGAAUCCGGGAGAGGGAUGCGGAAUUCCAGGUGUAGCGGUGAAAUGCGUAGAUAUCUGGAGGAACACCGGUGGCGAAGGCGGCAUCCUGGACCGGUAUUGACACUGAGGCGCGAAAGCCAGGGGAGCAAACGGG